RNAcentral lists this long non-coding RNA (597 nucleotides) under Mytilus galloprovincialis (Mediterranean mussel). Lineage: Eukaryota; Metazoa; Mollusca; Bivalvia; Mytilida; Mytilidae. The record is from RNAcentral.
AAUUAUACAACAAAAGUAUUUAAUUAUUAUUUACAAUAUAAAACUUCUCGGCGUCGUUUAAGAAUAAAAUUACAGGUUUUGGCACAUAAUCUUAUAAUAUCUUGAUUCGAAAAUAAAAAUACCAUUUUCUGACAAUCUGUUAAACUAUUAAAAUGUUCAUCAAUUUUAAGAGACUCAGUAAAAAGAACUUGUCUAAGAUCAUUAUAAACAGCACAAUGUAAAAUAACAUGAAAUUCAUCUUCGACAGUAUUAAAACAAUUAAAACAACAUCUCUCUUCCAGCGGCAAAUUUUCAUACCUCCCAGUUUCCAGUCUAAUAGGAGCCACCCCACAUCUAAAUUUUGCAAAAGCGCUUCUUUCACAAAAAGGCAUAACAGUUUGCAGUAGUUUUCUACAACAUACUCCUGCUUAAAAAUAUUAUAGGUUCUCAAUUUAUUCCGCCCAUUUCCCCGUCUGGAAGAGGAUGAACUAACAAUACUUUUCCAUUCUUCAAUAUAAAUAUCAAACAUUCUUGACAUGACUGUAUCAAUAAACAUAUUUUUAUUAAUAUUAGUGUUUGUAUUACAAAAGUCAACCAAUUCAAGUUCCGUGAAAUGUU